CCAGUGGCGAAGGCGGUUCUCUGGGCCUUUCCUGACGCUGAGGAGCGAAAGCGUGGGGAGCGAACAGGCUUAGAUACCCUGGUAGUCCACGCUGUAAACGGUGGGUACUAGGUGUGGGGUCCAUUCCACGGGUUCCGUGCCGUAGCUAACGCUUUAAGUACCCCGCCUGGGGAGUACGGCCGCAAGGCUAAAACUCAAAGGAAUUGACGGGGCCCCGCACAAGCGGCGGAGCAUGCGGAUUAAUUCGAUGCAACGCGUAGAACCUUACCUGGGUUUGACAUGGAUCGGGAGUGCUCAGAGAUGGGUGUGCCUCUUUUGGGGUCGGUUCACAGGUGGUGCAUGGCUGUCGUCAGCUCGUGUCGUGAGAUGUUGGGUUAAGUCC
RNAcentral lists this ribosomal RNA (382 nucleotides) under Escherichia coli. Its description in RNAcentral is "bacterial SSU rRNA". It matches the Rfam family "Bacterial small subunit ribosomal RNA", at positions 709 to 1087 of the family's 1533-position model. Lineage: Bacteria; Pseudomonadati; Pseudomonadota; Gammaproteobacteria; Enterobacterales; Enterobacteriaceae. The record is from RNAcentral.